CUACGUGCCAGCAGCCGCGGUAAUACGGAAGGUUCGGGCGUUAUCCGGAUUUAUUGGGUUUAAAGGGAGCGUAGGCCGGAGAUUAAGUGUGUUGUGAAAUGUAGACGCUCAACGUCUGACUUGCAGCGCAUACUGGUUUCCUUGAGUACGCACAACGUUGGCGGAAUUCGUCGUGUAGCGGUGAAAUGCUUAGAUAUGACGAAGAACUCUGAUUGCGAAGGCAGCUGACGGGAGCGCAACUGACGCUGAAGCUCGAAGGUGCGGGUAUCGAACAGGAUUAGAUACCCUGGUAGUCCGCACAGUAAACGAUGGAUGCCCGCUGUUGGUACCUAGUAUCAGCGGCUAAGCGAAAGCAUUAAGCAUCCCACCUGGGGAGUACGCCGGCAACGGUGAAACUCAAAGGAAUUGACGGGGGCCCGCACAAGCGGAGGAACAUGUGGUUUAAUUCGAUGAUACGCGAGGAACCUUACCCGGGCUUGAA
RNAcentral lists this ribosomal RNA (481 nucleotides) under uncultured bacterium. RNAcentral describes it as "bacterial SSU rRNA". It matches the Rfam family "Bacterial small subunit ribosomal RNA", at positions 501 to 985 of the family's 1533-position model. The record is from RNAcentral.